RNAcentral lists this ribosomal RNA (380 nucleotides) under uncultured Nitrososphaerota archaeon. RNAcentral describes it as "bacterial SSU rRNA". It matches the Rfam family "Archaeal small subunit ribosomal RNA", at positions 471 to 851 of the family's 1478-position model. The record is from RNAcentral. Lineage: Archaea; Thermoproteati; Nitrososphaerota.
UAAAACCAGCACCUCAAGUGGUCAGGAUGAUUAUUGGGCCUAAAGCAUCCGUAGCCUGUUCUGUAAGUUUUCGGUUAAAUCUAUGCGCUCAACGUAUAGGCUGCCGAAAAUACUGCAAAACUAGGGAGUGGGAGAGGUAGACGGUACUCGGUAGGAAGGGGUAAAAUCCUUUGAUCUAUCGAUGACCACCUGUGGCGAAGGCGGUCUACUAGAACACGUUCGACGGUGAGGGAUGAAAGCUGGGGGAGCAAACCGGAUUAGAUACCCGGGUAAUCCCAGCUGUAAACGAUGCAAACUCGAUGAUGCGUUGGCUUAUUGCUAGCGCAGUGUCGCAGGGAAGCCGUUAAGUUUGCCGCCUGGGAAGUACGUACGCAAGUAUG